AUGUCUGUGUUGAAUUAUCUGCUAGGUCAGUAGUUGUGUGUUGAUACGACUAUGCUAUAUGCUGUGGAUGUCUGUCUUUGCUUCAAGUUUACGCUCAAUUAUCUAUGUCAGUAACUGGCUGCCAUUUGUUACAAUGGAGAGAAUUCCCUGAGUAGUAGACAUAGUCAAUAAGAAGGAAAAUGAGAAGUGCCUCUCUUGGGUGACAUAAAACUCAUGUCUGGUUACCAGGAUAAACGAAUGUGCUGAUGGCUGUUGCUGCUUUGGUUUAGAGCCACAGAAGUAAAUGAGUCCUUGAGUGAAUAACUACAUGUCACCCUGAAUAGAGCAACCCUCAUGUACUUCAUCUGCAAAAAAUUCAGAAAACUGGAAACUGCAUAAUAGCAACCAGCAGGAUACUGAGCCAGUUCAAGACUUCGGCACCAGAAGACUUCUGUAGCCAUCUUCUAUGUACCCAAGUCUGUCUAUUCUGUUUCAUUCCCAAAUGUAUCUGCCUCAUAAAAAAUGCAGAGAUAAAAUGACAUAAAUGUGUAUAGAAAAAUAUCAUCUAGCAAAAUCAACAGAGGGGAAAAACAGUGUGUUGAAAAGAGAGUUCUACCACAACCAAACAAGACUCUAAAAAUAAAAAGAUACAGUAGUAAUAGCACUACAGUUUGACCAUCUGUUUAAUUUAGAGUCUUUGUGGGGCGGUACUGAGUAGAAGUUCAGGAACUACCUAAGUAGGAAGGAGACAAAGUACGCGGUUAUGCCACGGCACACUGAGCUGCCCCUCUGUAUUUUGAUAACAGGCAUUUCCCUUUCUGAUGCCAGUUUUAGUAUGUUUAAAAUUGUCCCUCCAAAAAUGCAAAUGUGAAAGCUCAAACCCAAAUAAGUUUCAAAAUGUAUAGUUCAGAAACAAGAGCUAGUUUCUACCACAAGUGGCAAAAUCAGUAUGAGGUAUCUCUUGAAGUAUUUGCCUCUAUUUCCUUCCUCUGCCACUUCUGCCUUAGUGGAAAGGAGGCUGCUUACACAGUGGCUGACACUGCGUGAAUACCUUCUUGCCUAUUCCUGUAAUCAUUCAGUGUUCAUCAUAGGAUUUUUAUUUUUAUAAAGCAGCUUGAUAUGUUUUGUGAUGGUAUUCCUGUUAACGUCAAAGAAAAGCAUUUGGCUGAGAAACACCAGCAACUCCUUUAAAAAAAUCCUCUAAUAACUGGGUUUUUAUUACCCUGAUCCUAAAGGUAACAUGACAAAAAAAGGAAACCAGAUUUCAGCCAGAGCUGCAUGGCAGUAACAGCUUAGAGAGGUAAUGGUACAAAGUGAAACACUGGAGUUCUCACACACACUCUUGCUGUGGAUUUGUUUUUUCCUUGCCUCCUUCAAGUGCUUGGGAAGAUUCUACAAACAGAUCUUCAGCACCAGACUCUUUACUCUAAAUUUCUGAUUUGACAUCACUAGAAAGCUCAAAUAGUGAACUACUUACGGGCUUUUAUUUUCUUUGGCCACCAAUAACAAUUACUCUACUACUAAACUUGCCUUUAAAUUGGGCUUCACAGAUACGACAUAAAAGGUCAGAGCAGGGAGAAGAGCAGUGGCCCCUUGGGCCUCUCUGCCCAGAGUUGCAGGGAGGGUCGGAGGUCCAUGGAGUCAUAAGUGGGAACAGAUCCAUCUUCUCAGCCUGGAUGCAAAAUUAAUUUGUGGGGGAAUACAGAAAAGGAGGGAAUUGUCUUGCUACUUCAUCUUCUCCUCACAGCUGGAGGAGGAGUAUGGCUUGGUCAGGAUGGUUGCCUGUGGUGCUGAUGGGGGAUGGAGAUCUUUCUUCAGCAUGGAUCAUUUAGGCUUUCCUAAGCUGAGAAUCACGUUGUCCAUCUCUCUCCAGCUUGUUGCUCUCCUCCCAUAAACUUUGCUUUGUUUAAAGGCAAUAGUUUAGUCUGUCACUUGUAAGUAGUGAAAUAUUGCUUUUUGAGCCUCACAUAUUGUGUAAUCCGGUUUUACAGUUCCUGGCAGUAUAUA
Long non-coding RNA from Gymnogyps californianus (California condor), 1986 nucleotides. RefSeq lists it as uncharacterized. The transcript is spliced from 3 exons. NCBI's taxonomy places the organism in Eukaryota, Metazoa, Chordata, Aves, Accipitriformes, Cathartidae. The record is from RefSeq and is a predicted model, not a curated record.